Molecule: ribosomal RNA, 246 nt
Filed under: uncultured bacterium
Lineage: Bacteria
Description: partial 16S ribosomal RNA
Rfam family: Bacterial small subunit ribosomal RNA
Source: RNAcentral
CCGUAGGGGGCAAGCGUUGUCCGGAUUUACUGGGUGUAAAGGGUGCUCAGGUGGAUUUGUUAGUCGGAGGUGAAACUCCGGAGCUUAACUCCGGAACUGCCUCCGAAACAGCAAGUCUUGAGUUUGGUAGAGGAUGAUGGAAUAUCUGGUGUAGCAGUGAAAUGCGUAGAUAUCAGAUAGAACACCAAUGGCGAAGGCAGUCAUCUGGGCCAUAACUGACACUAAAGCACGAAAGCGUGGGAUCAA